This 466-nucleotide ribosomal RNA is filed under the name uncultured bacterium. RNAcentral describes it as "bacterial SSU rRNA". It matches the Rfam family "Bacterial small subunit ribosomal RNA", at positions 30 to 490 of the family's 1533-position model. The record is from RNAcentral.
AUUGAACGCUGGCGGCAUGCCUUACACAUGCAAGUCGAACGGCAGCACGGGAGCAAUCCUGGUGGCGAGUGGCGAACGGGUGAGUAAUAUAUCGGAACGUGCCCAGUCGUGGGGGAUAACGUAGCGAAAGCUACGCUAAUACCGCAUACGAUCUAUGGAUGAAAGCGGGGGAUCGCAAGACCUCGCGCGAUUGGAGCGGCCGAUAUCAGAUUAGGUAGUUGGUGGGGUAAAAGCCUACCAAGCCUUCGAUCUGUAGCUGGUCUGAGAGGACGACCAGCCACACUGGAACUGAGACACGGUCCAGACUCCUACGGGAGGCAGCAGUGGGGAAUUUUGGACAAUGGGCGCAAGCCUGAUCCAGCAAUGCCGCGUGCAGGAUGAAGGCCUCGGGUUGUAAACUGCUUUUGUACGGAACGAACGGACUCUUUCUAAUAAAGGGAGCUAAUGACGGUACCGUAAGAAUAAG